Molecule: ribosomal RNA, 465 nt
Filed under: uncultured bacterium
Lineage: Bacteria
Description: partial 16S ribosomal RNA
Rfam family: Bacterial small subunit ribosomal RNA
Source: RNAcentral
GACGAACGCUGGCGGCGUGCUUAACACAUGCAAGUCGAACGGAAAGGCCCUGCUUGCAGGGUACUCGAGUGGCGAACGGGUGAGUAACACGUGGGUGGUCUGCCCUGCACUUCGGGAUAAGCCUGGGAAACUGGGUCUAAUACCGGAUAGGAGCCAUUUUUAGUGUGAUGGUUGGAAAGUUUUUUCGGUGUAGGGUGAGCUCGCGGCCUAUCUGCUUGUUGGUGCGGUAAUGGCCUACCGAGGCGGCGACGGGUAGCCGGACUGUGAGGGUGGACGGCCACAUUGGGACUGAGAUACGGCACCGACUCCUACGGGAGGGAGCAGUGGGGAAUCCUGAACAAUGGGCGCCAGCCUGAUGCAGAGACGCCGCGUGGGGGAUGACGGCCUUAGGGUUGUAGACUCCUUUCGCUAGGGACGAAGCUUUUUGUGACGGUACCUAGAUAAGAAGCCCCGGCUAACUACGUG